RNAcentral lists this long non-coding RNA (609 nucleotides) under Gallus gallus (chicken). RNAcentral describes it as "long non-coding RNA NONGGAT004142". Lineage: Eukaryota; Metazoa; Chordata; Aves; Galliformes; Phasianidae. The record is from RNAcentral.
AGGCAUAAACCUUCCACUCUUGAACAAAGCAGCUGCUUUUUAAAAGCGAGAAAAAGGAAAGCGAGUCACAGGCCACUCAACGCCUACUCCAUGGGGUCUGAUUUGCUGAGACACCAACUUCACCUUCCUAACAAGGUGCAGCUCAAAUGAAGAUGAUGACUACCAGAAGACAUGAACAAAGGGUAAGUGGCAAUAAACCUCUGAAGAACCUUUAUAUGUAUAUUGACCUGUACACAGAAGGCAGACCAGUCUGUGAGACUACUGGAGAUAGAGCAAUCUUCUACAGCAUGUGUCAGAUUGUAACUGUGCAGAACGUUGGGAAGUGGCUAUUGCUUGAAGUUAAUAAAGUAUGCUUAAACUUACUUGCCUCUCGUCUUCUGUUGUGUUCACGGAUGUACUUUUGCAAAGCUUCUAAACGUACGAAGAAUUGUGAAAGACACCAUUUUGUUUCUGCAUGGUGCUGUCUGCUUUAGAGAUCAGAUGUAUUAAAGAGUUGGGGGAUGCUGUGGCACAGCCAUUAAUUUUUUUGAAGAACAGAAUGCACUGUUGGUAGAGCUGAGUUAAUGAGCUGCCUGCUUGGUGACACGGCUGGCCUCUAUAAAAGGAGGC